RNA transcript from Notothenia coriiceps (black rockcod), 539 nucleotides. It is a transcript of the gene named insulin-induced gene 2 protein-like, with no coding region annotated. Lineage: Eukaryota; Metazoa; Chordata; Actinopteri; Perciformes; Nototheniidae. The record is from RefSeq and is a predicted model, not a curated record. The transcript is spliced from 3 exons.
CAGUCAUUUUGGGCAGCCGGAAGUAGUCACAAGGAGAGAAUCAUAAGGCUAAUUCAUAUUUGGCGUAUUGCAGCAUUGUUUAGUUUAAAGUCAUGUGAAAUGUCUUAUCGUAUUGUAACGUCUCUGUCAACAUAAGCUUGGUUUGGGAUGUCAGAGGAGGACUUUAAAAUCACUGGCGGAUAAAGACGUCAUCGAGCGUAUAUUUUCCAGACCUAUGCUUAUAAAUGUCCCUAACACUGACAGCCAUGAGCAACAGUGCAGGGACUGGAGGCCAGCAGGAAUGGUCGGGACCCGGGCAGACGCCGGGGCCUUCGCGGGGCCCCUAUAUUUCAGUCAUCACUAACAGGACCACCAACUUGCUGAUCCGAGGGGCCAUGCUGUUCUCUGUGGGAGUCUUCCUGUCCCUGGUGCUGAACUUACUUCAGGUGCAGAGAAACGUUACUCUCUUCCCCCCCGACGUCAUAAGCAGUAUCUUCUCCUCUGCCUGGUGGGUGCCACCUUGCUGUGGCACAGCCUCAGGUAUGUGAACACUUAUAUGA